GAGCGGCGUGCGGGGGUCUCGCGGCGGUGGCGGCGGGGGCUGCGCGGGGGGAGGGGCGACGGCGGAGGAGGAGGAAAGCGAGAGCGCCUCGCGCCGCGGGAGCGACCGAUUUUUUAAAAUUUUUAUACUCCACUUUUUCUUCCGUCUUUCUCAAACUCAUUUUUCCCUAGUAGCAGAGUUGAGACUUAAUAUUACAAAACUCUGCUUGCUUUAAAGAAUCUAAGAAGAAGAAGAAGAAAAAAAGACACUAAAGAACUUCCAAGCAGAAGUUUGAGAAGUUCUGCUAUAGCCCAUCCACUUGUUUGUGGAAUUUAAAUAUAUCCGUUUUUGCCACAAUAACAGCGUAGCCUUGCUAGAAUCAUAUACAAAGCAGCAGAUUUCUUUCUAUAAAUUACUGGACACUGUGGUGUAAUAUAGACAUUGCUGAGGAGGGAUGUAACUGUAACAGAAACAAAUUACUUACAUUGCAUGCAGUAGGGAAGUGGGUGAAAAGAGCAUUGAACUCUGAGUUGGGAGUCGACUUCAAGGCCCAGCUCAGCACUCUAGCAGAACUUUAGAUGGAUCCAGUUUGCAUGCAGUGGUAGCUGCUGUGAGGCUGCGGUUAAAUAGAGCUGCUCAGACUGCAACAGGAAAGCAUUGAAUCGAAAGCAAAGGGGAGGAAGCACAAACCGAUACCCACCACAAAGCUGCUGAGUGCCCAGCAUGACCCAAGCCGCACCCUCUGAUGAGGAGUCUUGUGGAGGAGUAAGAAGCCACAGACUUUAAUAAACCAUCAGCACAGCCUGUCCUCCACUUCCCUGGUCCAGCCUUCCCGGAUCACCAUGAGUAUCAGCGGGUACUGACCUAAGAAGCUGGGUGAUGACAGAAAAGUGACCAGAAAUGUAGAGUCCAGAGGAAGGUACCCGAAAUGAAUGACUGUAGACCAUUUUAUCUCAAACUCCCUACACAGUCAAGCGUGGUGAGCACGAAGGUCCGGGGCAUGAGAAUGUUUCUGAGGAGCUCCCUGCUUGGGGUGAUUCCCAGAUGAAGACUCCUAAAAAUGUUCCCUAAAAAUGCCUUUGCUACCUCCCUGAAAGGCUGCUUCUAGUAGUGGCCAAAACAACUUAUAAAAAUUUUAUAACUAAAAAUAAAGCCCUUGUGAGAUACAGUUAAGAGAACUUUAAAUAUACACUAAGGUAUGAUGACUAUUUUUAGAUUCCUGACUUCAAUGGAGGGAGGAGAAAGGAAGGAGAUGGAGCAGCAAAGACAUAUGUUACCUACUUGAUUUUGCUCAUGGCCUACCCUGUUUACAUUUGUCCCUUUUGCUAUCAAAGGAGAUAUUAAGGAAUUAUAGGAAAGGAAAUGAAAAGUGUGGAAAAAUAUAUAGGAACUAAGUACAGAUUUUAAACACCGGUAAGGUGGAGAACUCCUUGGAACUCUAGAGCUUCACAGUGGCUCUAUAAUUCACCUGUUCAGGUUCACUACCUCAGAAUCUAAGAAGGUGAGAUCUGGGCCCUACUUUUGCAGCUGGAAGGUCAGAACACAAAGAAUGGAGGUGACUGACUCAGUCUGGAGGAAAGGUUGCUUGGCUUGGCUGGAAGUGGGCACUUGUGUCAUCAUAGAGUGCCAACCUCACACUUCAGAUAACAGAACAGGAAAUAUUGUUAGUUCAGAUGGGAGAGCAGAGGACUGACUGUGUAUCCAAGACCAUUAAGUUAUUCAGUCACCUCUUUGUGUUGUACUUUCUAUCCUACAAGGGACCAGAGCUGGCUGUGGGGAGCUUCGGCAAUAGAUGAAGCAGGCCAUCAGGCCAGUCCCUGUUCCUUGCAGCUUUCUUCUCCCUUCUAUCAUGUUCAGCUUCUUUAAUCUGCUCAACCCAGAAAGUCUUCCAAGAUUGACAUCAUUACCAAAGUUUAAAUGGAAGAAUCUGAGGCAUUUUGAUAGGAGACAGGGGUGACAAUUCUGGAGUAGAGGAACUGUCUCUCACAAGGCCUCUCUACUACAAGUGGUAAAAAUUUGUGCUUUAUUUUAACAACCACAACAACAGUGAAUUGGAAAGGAUCUAAUAACAGAACAGAAUUUGUAGUCAGACAACUUUGUUUUGAAACUAUUCUUCCUUUCUUCCCUUCCUCCCUCCCUCCCUUCCUUCUUUCCUUCCUUCCUUUCCUUCAGAAAGGAAAGGACAGGGAGGAUAGCCAUAGAAUGGGAAGCUCCUUAGACCUCAGAGGAAUGCCGCAAGCUUCCCAAGUCUGAGUGCCUGCCCAGAGUUUGCCUACUUUCUUCAGUAGUCAAGGAUAUUCCUCAAGUUGUGUUUAAUAUCUAUGCAUGAGCCAAACUGUGGUAGGUGGGUGACUGCAUUCCCCAGGUGCAAUCUUUCAGCAUGUGACCUGAUGUAGUACAUUACAUUCCUUAGACAAGGAAAAAAUAGCGAUAUGAAUGCAAAGAGGGGGAGGCAGAGAGUGUAAGCUACUCUAAAACACUUAGUUAUGAAAGAAGAAAGAUUGGCUAGAAAGCAUGUGUAAUAAGGAAUGAAUUCCAUUUUUUUAAUUGAUAGAGGUUCAGGAAUGUUUAUAUACUUGAGGAAAAAGCAUAGUGAGAGAUCUUAACAAGUCACUUCAUUCCUAAGCUUUGAUACCCCCAUCCGAGGUGAGGAGGAGAGGAGAGGAGUUUCUAUAAAGAUUAAAAUUGAAUUAAAAUCAUAUGCACAGUAGUGGCUUAUAUGCCACAAAGCCCUUUACACAUGUUAAUUUUUAUAACUAUUAUCAUCUAGUGACUGUACAGAUGAGUAAGCCCUGGUCACAGCUGUUCUAUAUUUUCUACCCUAUAUGACAGAGCUGUCAAGAGGAGACAGGCUCUUGAGUAGGCAGGGCUAAGACACAUAAAUAAGAGGCUAACACUGGUGUGAUUUGUAUCUUGACAUGCUUUGAGCUUUUGGAGGAUGGUGUGUGUAUGUGCGUGACUUACUAGAUGCAAUGAGUUACCAUUUAUUUCAACUUGCCCUGUAUUCUUAUUUUAAAAAUCUUACUUAAAACAUGGACACAUGUCAAAUCCAACAUGUCUCUAAAAAGAUCUAAUGUUUGGAGAAAAUUUUAGAAAUAUUCACAAACUAUGCAUCUGAUAAAGGUCUAUUCAGAAUCUAUAAGGAACUUAAACAAUUCAACAAGCAAAAAAUAACCCCAUUAACAAGUGGGCAGGCCGGGUGCAGUGGCUCACACCUGUAAUCCCAGCACUGUGGAAGGCUAAGGCAGGCAGACUACUUGAGGUCCGGAGUUCAAGACCAGCCUGGCCAACAUGGUGAAAUCUCCCCUACUAAAAAUACAAAAAUUAGCCAGGUGUGGUGGUGCACACUUGUAAUCCCAGAUACUCGGGAGGUUGAGGCAGGAGAAUCGCUUGAAUUCGGAAGGUGGAGACUACAGUGAGCCGAGAUGGUGCCACUGCGUUCCAGCCUGGGUGACAAAGUAAGACUCCGUCUCAAAAAUAAAUAAAUAAAUAAAUAAAUAGAAUACAUUUAAAAAGUUGGAAAAGGACAUGAACAGAUACUUUUCAAAAGAAGUCAUACAAACAGACAACAAACGUGGAAAAAUACUCAACAUCACUAAUCAUUAGAGAAAUGCAAAUCAAAACCACGGUAAGAUACCAUCUCACACCAAUCAGAAUGGCUAUUAUUAAAAAGUCAGGCUGGGCUCAGUGCCUCACACCUGUAAUCCCAGCACUUUGGGAGGCCGAGGAGGAUGGAUCACCUAAGGUCAGGAGUCUGAGACCAACUUGGCCAACAUGGUGGAACCCUGUUUUUGCUAAAAAUACAAAAAUUAGCCGGGUAUGGUGGCACAUGCCUGUAAUCCCAGCUACUCAGGAGGCUGAGGCAGGAGAAUUUCUUGAACCCGGGUGGCAGAGGUUACAUUGAGCCAAGAUCGCACCAUUGCACUCGAGUCUGGGUGAUAGAGCAAGACUCUGUCUCAAAAAAAAAAAAAACAAAAAAAAAAACAAAUAGUCAAAAGCCACAGUUGCUGGAGAGGCUACCAAGAAAAGGGAAUGCUUAUCUAUUGUCGGUGUGAAUGUAAAUUAGUUCAGCUACUGUGGAAAAGUAGUUUGGUGAUUUCUCAAAGAACUUAAAACAAAAUUACCAUUCAACACAGCAAUCUUCAUUACUGAGUAUAUAUCUAAAGGAAAAUAAACCAUUCUACCAAAAAGACACAUGCACUCACAUGUUCAUCACAGCACUAUUCACAAUAGCAAAGACAUGGAAUCAAUCUAGGUGUUCAUCAACAGUGGAUUGGAUUUUUAAAAAUAGGGUAUAUACAUAGCAUGGUAUAAUACACAGUCAAAAAAAUGAGUGAAAUCAUAUCCUUUGUAGCAACAUGGAUGGAGCUAGAGGUCAUUAUCCUGAGUGAAUUAAGGCAGAAACAGAAAACCAAAUGUGUUAGUAAGAUCUCACAAGUGGGAGUUAAGCAUUGGGUACUCAUGGACAUAAAGAUGACAACAAUAGGUACUGGGGACUACUAGAGGCAGGAAGGAGGAAGGGGGACAAAGGUUGAAAUACUUACCUAUUGGUCACUAUGCUCAUUAUCUAGGUGAGGGGAUCAUUCACACCCCAAACCUCAGUGUUAUGCCAUAUACCCAUGUAACAAACCUGCACAUGUACUCCUGAGUCUAAAAGUUAAAAUUAUUUUUUAAAAUAAAUAAAUAGGUCGGGCGUGGUGGCUCACACCUAUAAUCCCAGCACUUUGGGAGGCUGAGGCGGGUGGAUCACUUGAGGUUAGGAGUUCAAGACCAGCCUGACCAACAUGGUGAAACCCCAUCUCUGAAAAAUACAAAAUUAACUGGGCGUGGUGGCAUGCCCCUGUAAUCCCAGCUACUUGGGAAGCUGAGGCAGGAGAAUUGCUUGAACCCGGGAGGCAGAGGUUGCAGUGAGCCGAGAUCGAGCCACUGCACUCCAGCCUGGGCAACAAGAGUGAAACUCCAUCUCAAAAAAAAAAAUUAAAAUUAAAAAAUAAAUAAACAAAAUUAAAAGUUGCCAUGUUGAAAAACACUAAUCCAUCUUGAGAUGCAAGGAUCUGUACAAAUAAGACUAUAUACAUGAACUUCAGGUUACAUAAAGGAGCAGUUUCUGUUUGUAGGUGGGGGGAGUUAACUUUUUGUGUUUCUUUCUGGCUCAUUGCAGGAUCACAUUAUAAUUUUGCUUUGAUACAAAUUUGGCAACAGGAAUCAUAAUUCUUUUUCCAACUGACUACAGUGCUUGUAUACUUUUAACGAAUAAUCCCUGUGAGUUGUACAAAGCCUUAUAUAUUCAACAAAUCAGUGAAGUUUUUAUCCUCUUAAUAUUUACUUUGUAGCUUUGCUUUGAACCACCUCAGCCCCAGUUCUACACAGUUGGCAGUAAAGAUAUCUGCAAAUUCCACUCCCCCAUUUCCUUUCUGUUUUGCCCUUGGUUUUUCAACAGUGAGAUGAUUGUGCCUUCAUUUCUGGGUGCAUCCCUUCACUUAUUCCUUAUUUCCCUUCUCCAUCCCUUACUCCUUCCUUCUCUUCCCCAGGCCUUCACAACCUCUAGAUUUUAUUACUAGCAACUUCUUAGGCCAAUCCCAUAGCAUGCUCCUUCAUGCAUUACAUGAACAAAUUUUUUGAGGGUGCUGAACCAAACAGUCAGGUGUCUUUUUUCAAGAGUGAACAAGAAGCCACUUUUUAAAAACAGUUUUAUUGAGAUAUAAUUUGUAUUCUAUAAAAUUCGCAUUUAAAGUGUACAAUUCAAUGGUUUUCAGUAUAUCUAUUUAGCAGUGCACCCGUCACCAUAAUUAAUUUUAGAAUAUUUUCAUCAUCUCCAAAAGAAACCUUAUAUUCAUUAGCAGUCACUCAUCAAUUCUAUUCUCCCAUACCCCACCCCUUUAUUCCCUCUAGUCCUAGACAAACACUAAUAUGCUUUCUGUUUCUAUGGAUUUGCCUAUUCUGGACAUUUUAUAUAAAUGAGAUCAUAUAAUAUGUGGUCUUUUGUGACUGGCUUCCUUCACUUAGCAGAAUGUUUUUGAGGUUCAUCUAUAUUGUAGCAUCUAUCUGUACCUCAUUCCUUUUUAUUGCCAAAUAAUAUUUCAUUGUAUGGAUAUUUCACAUUUUGUUUAUCUGUUCAUCAGUUGAUGACAAAUGGGUUGUUUCUACUUUUUGGUUAUUGUGAAUAAAGUUUCUGUGAACA
Pan troglodytes (chimpanzee) is the source of this 6160-nucleotide long non-coding RNA. RefSeq lists it as uncharacterized. The transcript is spliced from 2 exons. NCBI's taxonomy places the organism in Eukaryota, Metazoa, Chordata, Mammalia, Primates, Hominidae. The record is from RefSeq and is a predicted model, not a curated record.